RNAcentral lists this ribosomal RNA (492 nucleotides) under uncultured bacterium. RNAcentral's name for it is "partial 16S ribosomal RNA". It matches the Rfam family "Bacterial small subunit ribosomal RNA", at positions 29 to 507 of the family's 1533-position model. The record is from RNAcentral.
AGUGAACGCUGGCGGUAGGCCUAACACAUGCAAGUCGAACGGCAGCACAGUAAGAGCUUGCUCUUACGGGUGGCGAGUGGCGGACGGGUGAGGAAUACAUCGGAAUCUACUUUUUCGUGGGGGAUAACGUAGGGAAACUUACGCUAAUACCGCAUACGACCUACGGGUGAAAGCAGGGGAUCUUCGGACCUUUCGCGAUUGAAUGAGCCGAUGUCGGAUUAGCUAGUUGGCGGGGUAAAGGCCCACCAAGGCGACGAUCCGUAGCUGGUCUGAGAGGAUGAUCAGCCACACUGGAACUGAGACACGGUCCAGACUCCUACGGGAGGCAGCAGUGGGGAAUAUUGGACAAUGGGCGCAAGCCUGAUCCAGCCAUACCGCGUGGGUGAAGAAGGCCUUCGGGUUGUAAAGCCCUUUUGUUGGGAAAGAAAAGCAGCAGGUUAAUACCCCGUUGUUCUGACGGUACCCAAAGAAUAAGCACCGGCUAACUUCGUG